Molecule: ribosomal RNA, 701 nt
Filed under: uncultured Staphylococcus sp.
Lineage: Bacteria; Bacillati; Bacillota; Bacilli; Caryophanales; Staphylococcaceae
Description: bacterial SSU rRNA
Rfam family: Bacterial small subunit ribosomal RNA
Source: RNAcentral
AUGCAAGUCGAGCGAACGGACGAGAAGCUUGCUUCUCUGAUGUUAGCGGCGGACGGGUGAGUAACACGUGGAUAACCUACCUAUAAGACUGGGAUAACUUCGGGAAACCGGAGCUAAUACCGGAUAAUAUUUUGAACCGCAUGGUUCAAAAGUGAAAGACGGUCUUGCUGUCACUUAUAGAUGGAUCCGCGCUGCAUUAGCUAGUUGGUAAGGUAACGGCUUACCAAGGCAACGAUGCAUAGCCGACCUGAGAGGGUGAUCGGCCACACUGGAACUGAGACACGGUCCAGACUCCUACGGGAGGCAGCAGUAGGGAAUCUUCCGCAAUGGGCGAAAGCCUGACGGAGCAACGCCGCGUGAGUGAUGAAGGUCUUCGGAUCGUAAAACUCUGUUAUUAGGGAAGAACAUAUGUGUAAGUAACUGUGCACAUCUUGACGGUACCUAAUCAGAAAGCCACGGCUAACUACGUGCCAGCAGCCGCGGUAAUACGUAGGUGGCAAGCGUUAUCCGGAAUUAUUGGGCGUAAAGCGCGCGUAGGCGGUUUUUUAAGUCUGAUGUGAAAGCCCACGGCUCAACCGUGGAGGGUCAUUGGAAACUGGAAAACUUGAGUGCAGAAGAGGAAAGUGGAAUUCCAUGUGUAGCGGUGAAAUGCGCAGAGAUAUGGAGGAACACCAGUGGCGAAGGCGACUUUCUGGUCUGUA